AGCAACCUGCCCCUGACUCUGGGAUAAGCGCUGGAAACGGCGUCUAAUACUGGAUAUGUGACGUGACCGCAUGGUCUGCGUCUGGAAAGAAUUUCGGUUGGGGAUGGGCUCGCGGCCUAUCAGCUUGUUGGUGAGGUAAUGGCUCACCAAGGCGUCGACGGGUAGCCGGCCUGAGAGGGUGACCGGCCACACUGGGACUGAGACACGGCCCAGACUCCUACGGGAGGCAGCAGUGGGGAAUAUUGCACAAUGGGCGCAAGCCUGAUGCAGCAACGCCGCGUGAGGGACGACGGCCUUCGGGUUGUAAACCUCUUUUAGCAGGGAAGAAGCGAAAGUGACGGUACCUGCAGAAAAAGCGCCGGCUAACUACGUGCCAGCAGCCGCGGUAAUACGUAGGGCGCAAGCGUUAUCCGGAAUUAUUGGGC
RNAcentral lists this ribosomal RNA (425 nucleotides) under Microbacterium sp. Z4_108_2. RNAcentral describes it as "bacterial SSU rRNA". It matches the Rfam family "Bacterial small subunit ribosomal RNA", at positions 120 to 559 of the family's 1533-position model. Lineage: Bacteria; Bacillati; Actinomycetota; Actinomycetes; Micrococcales; Microbacteriaceae. The record is from RNAcentral.